GAUGAACGCUAGCGGCGUGCCUAACACAUGCAAGUCGAACGUGAGAGGGUACAUGUAUCCUUGAAAGUGGCGGACGGGUGAGUAAGACGUAGGUGACCUGCCUCGGAGUGGGGGAUAACCAUUGGAAACGAUGGCUAAUACCGCAUAAGUUGAGAGCGAUGGGAAUGGCUAACAACAAAGCUCAGGCGCUUUGAGAGGGGCCUACGGCCGAUUAGUUAGUUGGUGAGGUAAAGGCUCACCAAGGCGAUGAUCGGUAGCUGGUCUGAGAGGACGAUCAGCCACACGGGAACUGAGACACGGUCCCGACUCCUACGGGGGCAGCAGUGAGGAAUAUUCGGCAAUGGGGGCAACCCUGACCGAGCAACGCCGCGUGGAGGAAGACGG
RNAcentral lists this ribosomal RNA (384 nucleotides) under uncultured Chloroflexota bacterium. RNAcentral describes it as "bacterial SSU rRNA". It matches the Rfam family "Bacterial small subunit ribosomal RNA", at positions 28 to 414 of the family's 1533-position model. Lineage: Bacteria; Bacillati; Chloroflexota. The record is from RNAcentral.